CCUCCAGGUUGCUGUGGGGACAGAGCAGGCCACACUGAGGAGGCGGAGACACCAGAGGGACCCCAGGUCAGGUGCAUCAUGGGACCCGUGUCCCAGUGUCAGGUGCAUGGAUGGGAUUCGUGUCAGGUGCACCAUGGAACCCCAUGUCCAGGUGCAUCAUGGGGCUCGGAAGCACAGGCGGACACAGGCAAGACACAAGGACAAAGUGCCCUUCCUCUCACACUGCCACCUCCCAGAGACUGAUCCUCCCCAGCCCAGCACCCACGGCCAUCCCUGUGCGGCCACCUGGACACCCAGCCAGAGCAACU
Molecule: long non-coding RNA, 308 nt
Organism: Erinaceus europaeus (western European hedgehog)
Lineage: Eukaryota; Metazoa; Chordata; Mammalia; Eulipotyphla; Erinaceidae
Exons: 3
Source: RefSeq, a predicted model, not a curated record